AUGCCAGGAUACCCUCCAGAGCCUACUUCUGUCUUUCUGACACUGUCACCUCUAAGUCUUCCAUUGCUCACUCUGGAUUCCUUGAUCUUCCUCCUAUUGAAUAGGCACCUCCUACUUGAGGGUCUUUGUAUUGACCACCUGCUCUGUUGGAGGCAGCUGCAGUCAACCAUGCUCUCCCCAGACACCCUUCUGAUUGUACUUGCACCUGCUUCAAGCCUUUGCCUAAGUCUUGCAGUCUUAAGAAAGCCCACCCAAGUACCUAUUGAAAACCACAAGCUACCCACCCACUUCCUUAUUCCUAGUAUUGCUGACCCUAUUGUAUUUUUUUGGUAGCACUGGUCGCCAUGAAAUAUUCCGUGUUUCUUAUUUCUUAUGGUUACAGUUUAUUGCCUAUCUUCCAUCUGUUUCCCCCUAGAGAAAUUCCAAGAACACAAGGAUUUAUGUCUAUUUGUUUUGUUUAUGUAUUCAUUUGUAGAAUGAAUAAAUGGAUAAUACUCCUAACCGGAUUUAUUUUUUGGCUUCACCCAUGGCAUGUGGAUGUUCUCAGGCCAGGGACUAAACUCACCACAGCAGUGGCAAUGCUGGAUCCUUAACCAACGGAGACACCAGGGACCUCCCCUGACCAUCUUUUAAAAAUAGAUUUAUUUAUUUUUUAAUUAAAGUAUAGUUGAUUUACAAUGUUGUGCCAAUUUCUGCUUUAUAGCAAAGUGACCUAGUCAUCUGUAUUUAUUUUUUUCUUUUUCUUAUAUUAUCUUCCAUCAUGGUCUAUCCCAAGAGAUUGGAUAUAGUUUCCUGUGCUGUACAGUAAGACCUCGUGGUUUAUCCAUUCUAAAUAUAAUAGUUUACAUCUACUAGCCCCAACUCCCUGUCCAUCCCACUCCCUCUCCAUUCUCCCUUGGCAACUACCAGUCUGAGAACCACGAGUUCUCUAUGCCUGACCAGAUAUUUUUCCAGGUGAUAUUUUCAAGGGAAACUUCAGAGAGAAGCAGUGAGCCUGGCAUGGAAUAGUUUUUAAAUGGAGGAAAAAGUAAGUGAAUUAUAGAAGGAGAAAUGGUGCAAUAGAAUUUAAUGAACAGAACUAAAACUGAGAUUACAUAUGUUCCAGAGCCUGGUUUUAAACCUCCAGUUUCUAAACAUGUUAACUACUCAGCUU
This 1153-nucleotide long non-coding RNA is filed under the name Sus scrofa (pig). Its description in RNAcentral is "lncRNA (ENSSSCG00005018729.1)". The record is from RNAcentral. Lineage: Eukaryota; Metazoa; Chordata; Mammalia; Artiodactyla; Suidae.